UCGCGUCAACUGCUGUCUCAUUAAAAAAAACUAGUGGGGAGUGAGUCGCCAGUGAGUAAUAACACUUAACCACAACCAUUUUUUUAUCGGGACAAGUCAGAAAUACAUGCUUAUAUAAUAAAAUUCAGAAAUUAUCAUAAAAAUAAAAUGCCCUUUCAAAACGGUAAGAAUAAUCAGUCUCAUUAUGUAUUUCCUGUAACAGAAAUCAAUUUAACAAUUCGGUAAUAAACUCGGUAAGCACUGUAUCAUAUCAAUUCCUUAUGUUUGGGAGGUUUCCAAGAAAUGAUCAUGUAUCUAUAUCACAGUGUGGACCCCUUCGUAAAAGGAGUCAAAUAUAACUGUAGGUCCCUACUCGAGGGAAAUACUUUAACUGUAUGCUAGUUCUACCUUCCCACUAUCGAGGGCUAUAACUGUACUCGAUAAUCGGUAAAUACAAGGUGCACCAGGUCUAACGAACCCGCCGUUAGCUAUGGGAUCCUUCAAAGUCUCCUCCCAUUUAUACUCUUUCUUGUAAGCAGUAAAUACUCAUACAAAAAUAUUUUCAAAAUAAUAAAGGUCAUAUAAUUUCUUAUCAACUCUUGAAAUUUUAUUUCGGUAACGGUUAACGUGUCUCAAGUAACAGUAGAACACGUCUAGUAACAGUGAUAAUAAUUUAAACAAUUGUAACAUCUCAAGUAACGGUAAAACAUAUCUAGUAACGGUGAAAACAUUUAGAUUAACCAGUAAACAUCUCAAGUACACUGUUCGGUACCAUAUCAAGUAAAGGACUUGUUCCACAUGCAAUUUCAAAGCAUUGGUAACAUAUUUAUUUUUUCAAAAUCAUAUAUAAACCAUGCAGGUUAUGAAAACACAAAUUGAGGUAAGAUUACUACUCACAGUGCUCAUGCGAAAUACCAAACUCGUCACCUCGAACGAUCCGUACGACUCUCUUCAAUCAAUCUAUAACCACAUCAAUACUGAUCUUGUGUUAAUUGCCUCAUUUAGGCUAAAUUUAUCACUAAUUUAGGAUACCCAAUCCUCCGAGUUUUAUAUUUUAUCAUCAAUUCGCCGAACAAUAUUUACCCAUGCUAUGGGCAAUUUAGAUUAGUCCAAAAUCUUUUUAAAAAAGGCAACUUAUAUAGUUUAUUCCCUGUAAUUUUCAAUUUCCUUAAUCAUGUAUAUAAUUCGAAACUUAAAUAUUAUUGUCCACAAUAUCCCUUUUUUUUGUAUUAAAUUUUCAAUAUCCGAUAAAAUUCCAUACACAGAAAUCGGGGUUUAAAGGAAUCCACCAGAAACUAAAGAAGAAUCAACAGAAUGGAAAAACUAACCAUUUUUUUUUUGCAGAAGGAUAGUUUUCAGUUGAAGCUGCUAUAUAUUUCCAAUCUAGCUUCCUUUAAUCGUAAAUUUUACUGCCAACAAUUUUCUUUCCUCACUUGCUUGUCAAUAACGUUGAUGUCCAAGUAGUUGUUCCAGCAACUACUCCUUUUGUUUCUUUAAGUUUGGAGUUGGCUUUCCCAAUCCCUAAAUCCCGUC
This 1512-nucleotide long non-coding RNA is filed under the name Nicotiana tabacum (common tobacco). Its description in RNAcentral is "long non-coding RNA (NTAB_LNC002649)". The record is from RNAcentral. Lineage: Eukaryota; Viridiplantae; Streptophyta; Magnoliopsida; Solanales; Solanaceae.